Molecule: ribosomal RNA, 164 nt
Filed under: Hypocreales sp.
Lineage: Eukaryota; Fungi; Ascomycota; Sordariomycetes; Hypocreales
Description: partial large subunit ribosomal RNA
Rfam family: Eukaryotic large subunit ribosomal RNA
Source: RNAcentral
CGGGAAAAGCUCAAAUUUAAAAUCUGGCGGUCUCUGGCCGUCCGAGUUGUAAUUUGCAGAGGAUGCUUUUGACAAGGUGCCUUCCGAGUUCCCUGGAACGGGACGCCAUAGAGGGUGAGAGCCCCGUCUGGUCGGAUACCGCGUCUCUGUAAAGCUCCUUCGAC